RNAcentral lists this ribosomal RNA (253 nucleotides) under uncultured bacterium. RNAcentral's name for it is "partial 16S ribosomal RNA". It matches the Rfam family "Bacterial small subunit ribosomal RNA", at positions 524 to 776 of the family's 1533-position model. The record is from RNAcentral.
UACGUAGGGUGCGAGCGUUAAUCGGAAUUACUGGGCGUAAAGCGUGCGCAGGCGGUUGUGCAAGACAGAUGUGAAAUCCCCGGGCUCAACCUGGGAAUUGCAUUUGUGACUGCACGGCUAGAGUGUGUCAGAGGGGGGUAGAAUUCCACGUGUAGCAGUGAAAUGCGUAGAGAUGUGGAGGAAUACCGAUGGCGAAGGCAGCCCCCUGGGCCAACACUGACGCUCAUGCACGAAAGCGUGGGGAGCAAACAGG